GACGAACGCUGGCGGCGUGCUUAACACAUGCAAGUCGAACGGAAAGGCCCUGCUUUUGUGGGGUGCUCGAGUGGCGAACGGGUGAGUAACACGUGAGUAACCUGCCCUUGACUUUGGGAUAACUUCAGGAAACUGGGGCUAAUACCGGAUAGGAGCUCCUGCUGCAUGGUGGGGGUUGGAAAGUUUCGGCGGUUGGGGAUGGACUCGCGGCUUAUCAGCUUGUUGGUGGGGUAGUGGCUUACCAAGGCUUUGACGGGUAGCCGGCCUGAGAGGGUGACCGGCCACAUUGGGACUGAGAUACGGCCCAGACUCCUACGGGAGGCAGCAGUGGGGAAUAUUGCACAAUGGGCGGAAGCCUGAUGCAGCAACGCCGCGUGCGGGAUGACGGCCUUCGGGUUGUAAACCGCUUUCGCCUGUGACGAAGCGUGAGUGACGGUAAUGGGUAAAGAAGCACCGGCUAACUACGUGCCAGCAGCCGCGGUGAUACGUAGGGUGCGAGCGUUGUCCGGAUUUAUUGGGCGUAAAGGGCUCGUAGGUGGUUGAUCGCGUCGGAAGUGUAAUCUUGGGGCUUAACCCUGAGCGUGCUUUCGAUACGGGUUGACUUGAGGAAGGUAGGGGAGAAUGGAAUUCCUGGUGGAGCGGUGGAAUGCGCAGAUAUCAGGAGGAACACCAGUGGCGAAGGCGGUUCUCUGGGCCUUUCCUGACGCUGAGGGGCGAAAGCGUGGGGAGCGAACAGGCUUAGAUACCCUGGUAGUCCACGCUGUAAACGGUGGGUACUAGGUGUGGGGUCCAUUCCACGGGUUCCGUGCCGUAGCUAACGCUUUAAGUACCCCGCCUGGGGAGUACGGCCGCAAGGCUAAAACUCAAAGGAAUUGACGGGGCCCCGCACAAGCGGCGGAGCAUGCGGAUUAAUUCGAUGCAACGCGUAGAACCUUACCUGGGUUUGACAUGGAUCGGGAGUGCUCAGAGAUGGGUGUGCCUCUUUUGGGGUCGGUUCACAGGUGGUGCAUGGCUGUCGUCAGCUCGUGUCGUGAGAUGUUGGGUUAAGUCCCGCAACGAGCGCAACCCUUGUUCACUGUUGCCAGCACGUUAUGGUGGGGACUCAGUGGAGACCGCCGGGGUCAACUCGGAGGAAGGUGGGGAUGACGUCAAGUCAUCAUGCCCCUUAUGUCCAGGGCUUCACGCAUGCUACAAUGGCUGGUACAGAGAGUGGCGAGCCUGUGAGGGUGAGCGAAUCUCGGAAAGCCGGUCUCAGUUCGGAUUGGGGUCUGCAACUCGACCUCAUGAAGUCGGAGUCGCUAGUAAUCGCAGAUCAGCAACGCUGCGGUGAAUACGUUCCCGGG
This 1343-nucleotide ribosomal RNA is filed under the name uncultured bacterium. RNAcentral describes it as "16S ribosomal RNA". It matches the Rfam family "Bacterial small subunit ribosomal RNA", at positions 28 to 1378 of the family's 1533-position model. The record is from RNAcentral.